RNAcentral lists this transfer RNA (77 nucleotides) under Brachidontes exustus (scorched mussel). Its description in RNAcentral is "tRNA-Met". Lineage: Eukaryota; Metazoa; Mollusca; Bivalvia; Mytilida; Mytilidae. The record is from RNAcentral.
CGUAGAGUAUUUUAUUAAGAAUAUAGGGCUCAUGAUCCUAAGGUGUGGACUAACUGAAACAGGUCUGCCUCUACGUC